CUCCAAAAUAAGAAAGAACUGCUACUCACAGAGGGAAACUAGCAUGGAUUUUACUUUCUGGAACCAUGAUAUGCCUGAAGCAGCAACACAGUGGCAAUUCCAGAGGGGUAGGAGCUCUGCUACCAUGCAAUGACACUGUAAUUACAAAAUAAGGGAAAAUUAGAAGUAGUACAAGUGUGCAGAACUAGCUCUGGUUGUGAGUUGUCAAAGAAAGCAAUGUAGCUGAUCUCAAAGGAACAUGGAAAGGCAAUGACACAAAGACAACUUUGUAGCAGACUGCUGCACCUGUUGCUUGCUUGCCACCUUAGAAGUCAGAGACCUCACACUGGGACCAAUUAAAACAGAACAAGUUAAUAACUUACAGAUCUCAAGAGAACACAGCACCUUAGAAUGCUUGAUUUAAGUUGCAAAUGAGGCUUUUUGACAUCUCACAGCCAGGACAUGCACAGCCCCAUCGCAGAAUGCUACAGUCACUUACAGCAAGAUGGCUUCAAGGAGCUCAGGCUGACCAGAGGCAUUAGAAACAAAAUGGUGGUCACUGACUGAAGAAGGCAUCUGGAAAACGUGCCAGCGAGCUGCAGCUGAGGAGAAGGAGCAGAGCACAGCUGCCUCUGCCAGCGCCUGGGCGGCAGAAAGGGAGACAGAGCUUUUCCCGCCUUGCGGCUGCAGCCUCACGUGCGCCCCUCAGGAGGAGUCGGGCUUUCCCUCAGAGCGACUGAACACGUGCAGGGCCUGAGAAGGCGGGUGUGCCCUCACAACGCCCGGUUAGCUGAACUUCUGUCAGAAAGCCCCCUAGUGCACCACUUAGAGUUAUUCUUGGGAAGAAUGGGAAGCAGACAUUAACAUCUUGUACCUCUGAGAAUAACUCAGUUUUACUGAGGUGGUAAAUGUGACGCAGUCCCACAGUGUGCCUCUGCCCCCCCGCACUGCAAUGCUGACAGCUCAGCCGCAGCUGCUGUUGGUUACAUCCCAAAGCCCUGAGGUGAAAACACUCCUCUUACCAAACACGCUGCCCUGCUCAUCACUAAGAACUUCUGGAGGAUGGGGAAUGUUACAGCAGAUGUUUUAAAUGAUGCUAAAAUCUGAGUUACAUGAACUAAGAUUGCAGUACUAUCAGAACGUUGUUUUGUUUUCUUAAAUUUGUUUUUUCAUCCCUAAAAGGGGCCUUAGAAUAGUUUAUGAUCAAUAGUGGUUUUAGAUCCCACCAUUUCAUAU
Molecule: long non-coding RNA, 1215 nt
Organism: Gallus gallus (chicken)
Lineage: Eukaryota; Metazoa; Chordata; Aves; Galliformes; Phasianidae
Source: Ensembl